Molecule: ribosomal RNA, 118 nt
Organism: Oncorhynchus tshawytscha (Chinook salmon)
Lineage: Eukaryota; Metazoa; Chordata; Actinopteri; Salmoniformes; Salmonidae
Source: Ensembl
GCUUACGACCAACCACCUGAGUACGCCUGAUCUCGUCUGAUCUCGGAAAGCUAAGCAGGGUCGGGCCUGGUUAGUACUUGGAUGGGAGACUUCCUGGGAAUACCAGGUGCUGUAAGCU